Molecule: long non-coding RNA, 2349 nt
Filed under: Mus musculus (house mouse)
Lineage: Eukaryota; Metazoa; Chordata; Mammalia; Rodentia; Muridae
Description: long non-coding RNA chr6:111560665-111563014
Source: RNAcentral
AUCUGAGGAUAGGAUGCUAUGGCCUUUGUGUGUGUAUAUUUAGAUACAAUUCUUGUUUACUCUACAAUGUUGACAACAUAUAUGUGUACUUUUAUGUAUAUCCUUUUACAAAUAUGUAUUUUUUUAAAAAAACUGAAAACACAUGGUAUUUAUCAAAUAAAACCUCAACUUUGUUACUUACACGAUUAGGAAACUUAAAAAUGUGCUAAACAGAAGCAUCAAGGUCUGUUUUCAUUUUUUCUGUUUUCUCAAGAUGAUAAGAUCUUUUUUUUCUUCUCUGCUUUUGGUUUUUUACAUUUUUUUUAUAGUUUCUUCAAUCUAGUUUGCAAUUAGCAAAAGUUUUUUAAGGCAAAAAUUUGCAGAGUUGGGAGUGAGACAGCUCAGGGGUAAAGGUGCUUGCUGCCACUGUGAGCCUCUGAGUUCCAUCCACACAGUGCGACACGUGGACCACCUCACUCUAUCUGUCCUCUGAGCUCCACAACUAUGCCACCGCCAGGAUCCCCCUCCUUCCACAAAUCAGAGUAGUUAAAAAGCAAAUCCUGGAGAAAGUUAUAUUAAAAUUAAAUUAAUAUUAAAAUUGGCCUCCUAAGUCAAUGCCAAAUUGACAGUACAUUUUGACAAAAUGAGAAUGAAUUGGAUGUCUAAUAUUUACUAAUAAGAAAAUGUGUAUUAAUAAUGUAUUUUAGAAAUCAAUGUCCUUAAGACUUUUUCAUUGAAAACUUCAGGUCUUUUAAAUACCUGAGUUUGAGAAAAAUGUAAUAGGAACAAUACAAUCUACUCUUGUUCUUUCUCGAUGUAAACAGAUUAUUCCGUUCUUAAAAGCACUCGCUGUUCUUGGAGAACGCCCAGCUUCAGCUCCUAGCACCUACAUCAUGUCGCACAGUCAUCCAUAACUCCUGUUUCAGGGCAUCUGACACCCUCUUCUGAGCUCUGUAAGCAACGGGAACCCAUAUGGUACAUAUUCAUACAUGUAGGCAAAACAUGCACACACAUGAAAUACAUAUUUUUAAUUUCAUUCGACACACAUUCUUAAAAUAAAAUGAAAAUACUCCAGCUUCUGAGGGAAAGAAAUUUCCAGCCUUUCAACAUAAAAGGCAUAUCUCUUUAACAACCAUUUUUUCUGGACAACUAUUUUGAGCUAGGCAAUUCUCUUCUCUGGACCAUAAACUACAUUGCUAUUCAAAUAAAUAGAAUUAUCAGCCCUGUAGGCACUUCUUUUAUUUACUCAUAAGGCCAGGAUGGUUUAAAAAUAAACACUAUAAUACACUGGACUUUACUGUGAUAAAGGGCAGAAAUUGCCGUUCGAGGGGCUGCAUAAACUUCAUUAUAACCUUGCUGCAACGCUCCAAAGCAAUUCUGCAAAGAAAGCAGAUACUGAGGCUUAUCCUUUGUAGAGAAGUUUGUAACCUAAAAAUACAUUUAUAUGUUUUAUUCCCCAGCGAGAGACUGGGAUAAUUCUGACAUCUGUGCUAUCAACAGUCCUCAGGGUCUGAAUUACUGUCCUCAUUUUAAAGCCUCCACAAAAUUCAGCCUUAUGGUAGAGGGCUGGGCUCAUCUCAUGUAAGUGAUGGAGCACAACUAGAACCCAGGCAGGUGAGUCCCAGGCAGCAGUUUCUUCCCAUGAUGGCUUGCGGGGGAAAAAAAGAGAGACUCAUGGGUCAUCUAGCAUGUUUUCUCAAAUGCUGGUCCCUCUGUGUUCCAUGUCCCUCCCAACUAUAAAGGGGAAUAAAAAUUAUGUGUCUCAUUUUCUGAAAAUACAAGAAGAUAAUGCCCACAAAGCUUCAGGGAGCCUUGCCGUGUUCUCCAAAACAUAAUUUUCUAAUUUUCAUUUGUUUCAUUGUUUUCUUGUUGCUAACUUGGGGUUUCACCUAGACCAGGCUGGCCUCAAGCUUGUUGUGAAACUGAAAAUGAACUUGCCCCACCCCCACCCCCAUGCUUCUGUCCUCACCUGCUAUGUACUGGGAUGAGAGGCAUGUAACACCACGCCUUACUCACCCAGUGCUUGGGGUGGAGCUCAGGGCUCUGUGCACACUAAGCAAGUACUCUCUCAACUGAGUUCUAUUCCCAUCCCCACUCUCCAAGUUUGUCUUAUUCAUUCUAUGUAUAUGUUUGUCUGUAUGUUUAGCUGUGGUCCCGAGACACAUGGGAGGAAGUCACAGGAUAACUCGUGGGAAUCAGUUUACUCUUCCCACUACGUUCAUUGCACUCAAGUCUUUACAUGCAGAAUUCUCCCGCUGCCCCAAGUAUCUAAUUGUUAAAAAGCAUAGCUAGAUUUUGAUUCCAACUUAAUCCAAACCAGUCUUCACUACAGCAUAGGAACAGGGUUUUUCUGAGCUACAAUUCUUUUAG